CGUGCGGUUCUAUUUUGUUGGUUUCUAGGACCGCCGUAAUGAUUAAUAGGGACAGUCGGGGGCAUCAGUAUUCAAUUGUCAGAGGUGAAAUUCUUGGAUUUAUUGAAGACUAACUACUGCGAAAGCAUUUGCCAAGGAUGUUUUCAUUAAUCAGGAACGAAAGUUAGGGGAUCGAAGACGAUCAGAUACCGUCGUAGUCUUAACCAUAAACUAUGCCGACUAGGGAUCGGACGAUGUUAAAUUUUGACUCGUUCGGCACCUUACGAGAAAUCAAAGUGCUUGGGCUCCAGGGGGAGUAUGGUCGCAAGGCUGAAACUUAAAGAAAUUGACGGAAGGGCACCACCAGGGGUGGAGCCUGCGGCUUAAUUUGACUCAACACGGGGAAACUCA
RNAcentral lists this ribosomal RNA (390 nucleotides) under fungal sp. RNAcentral's name for it is "SSU rRNA". It matches the Rfam family "Eukaryotic small subunit ribosomal RNA", at positions 827 to 1217 of the family's 1831-position model. Lineage: Eukaryota; Fungi. The record is from RNAcentral.